ACAGAUAAGGAGCUUGCUCCUUUGACGUUAACGGCGGACGGGUGAGUAACACGUGGGUAACCUACCUAUAAAACUGGAAUAACUCCGGGAAACCGGGGCUAAUGCCGGAUAACAUUUAGAACCGCAUGGUUCUAAAGUGAAAGAUGGUUUUGCUAUCACUUAUAGAUGGACCCGCGCCGUAUUAGCUAGUUGGUAAGGUAACGGCUUACCAAGGCAACGAUACGUAGCCAACCUGAGAGGGUGAUCGGCCACACUGGAACUGAGACACGGUCCAGACUCCUACGGGAGGCACCAGUAGGGAAUCUUCCGCAAUGGGCGAAAGCCUGACGGAGCAACGCCACGUGAGUGAUGAAGGGUUUCGGCUCGUAAAACUCUGUUAUUAGGGAAGAACAAACGUGUAAGUAACUGUGCACGUCUUGACGGUACCUAAUCAGAAAGCCACGGCUAACUACGUGCCAGCAGCCGCGGUAAUACGUAGGUGGCAAGCGUUAUCCGGAAUUAUUGGGCGUAAAGCGCGCGUAGGCGGUUUCUUAAGUCUGAUGUGAAAGCCCACGGCUCAACCGUGGAGGGUCAUUGGAAACUGGGAGACUUGAGUGCAGAAGAGGAUAGUGGAAUUCCAUGUGUAGCGGUGAAAUGCGCAGAGAUAUGGAGGAACACCAGUGGCGAAGGCGACUUUCUGGUCUGUAACUGACGCUGAUGUGCGAAAGCGUGGGGAUCAAACAGGAUUAGAUACCCUGGUAGUCCACGCCGUAAACGAUGAGUGCUAAGUGUUAGGGGGUUUCCGCCCCUUAGUGCUGCAGCUAACGCAUUAAGCACUCCGCCUGGGGAGUACGACCGCAAGGUUGAAACUCAAAGGAAUUGACGGGG
RNAcentral lists this ribosomal RNA (867 nucleotides) under Staphylococcus arlettae. Its description in RNAcentral is "bacterial SSU rRNA". It matches the Rfam family "Bacterial small subunit ribosomal RNA", at positions 69 to 918 of the family's 1533-position model. Lineage: Bacteria; Bacillati; Bacillota; Bacilli; Caryophanales; Staphylococcaceae. The record is from RNAcentral.